GUUAUACAACGUUUACUAUCAUUAUUAUUCAUUUUACUACGGAGUUUGGAAACCUCGUCAUAGAUCAGGAAUGUGUUGUACCCUGCGCUGCACAAACAGCACAGAAGGAAAAUUGCCUCUUCCAAGCUAUAUUGGAUAAAAACACGCAGUGAUAGCAAAAGGAAUUUUGUUAAUCAGCAGCACAACAAGCUGUUAAAGCCACCUCGGAGCACCUCACCAUUUACUGACCCCACAGUUAAAUACCUGCCGUGCGUAUCUUAACCUUUUAUGAGGUAUUUGCGAAGGGAACUUCGAGAUUAGCACUUGGGAAAACACCCUGGAACACAGUUGGACCGACAUCAAGAGCCUCCCGCGGGGGAUGUUUGCCUUUCCCAAAUCCUCCUGCCCCGUGCCGGAGCGGGACCCGCUGCCCAGGCAGCGGCACCUCCAGGGGGGCACGGGGCAGCGAGCGGGGCUGCUCGGGGCUUUCCUCCCCGUUCUGGACUGGGAAGAUGCUCCGCAGGGAAAACCCGGCUCCCGUGCCGAGGGCUGCCCCGCAAAGCGGCCCCGGGGCCGGUGCUGCCCGGGGCACGGAGCGGGGUUUGGAUCCUGCCCACCCCGGCUGUGCCCCCGUCCGGGGCCGGUGCUGCUCGGGGCACGGAGCGGGGUUUGGAUCCUGCCCACCCCGGCUGUGCCCCCGCCCGGGGCCGGUGCUGCUCGGGGCACGGAGCGGGGUUUGGAUCCUGCCCACCCCGGCUGUGCCCCCGCCCGGGGCCGGUCCUGCCCGGGGCACGGAGCGGGGUUUGGAUCCUGCCCACCCCGGCUGUGCCCCCGCCCGGGGCCGGGCUGACUCACGGAGCUGCGGGUGCUGAGCUGAGCGCGGCUAUUUCCGUGCUCCCCCUGCAAUCCCUGCUCCUCCGGCUGCGCUGUCAGGCACCUCAGCACCCCCGCCGCCUCUAUUCUUAGCAGCUAAUAACUGAAAUAAUUCCUUUUGUCUCCGCGCUGUUGGCUCCUUGGAUCGCCCCCACACCCGCUGCCAGCGCUGGGGGAGCGGCCGGGGGUCCCGGGGGCGAGGGCAGUGCCCCUGUGCCAACCGGGAAUUCUGGUGUGGGCUCAGCAUCCCAAAUCCCCGACCCCACUCCAGCACAGGCCAUUGAGCGGUGCUUUGAAGCAGGGAUGUUAAUGCGGUGCCACCCCUUAGAAAAGGAUUCUGGCUCUUCCAGUGAGUUUCUUAGAUUUCACCGGAAAAACUCCAGGUUUUCACCUGCGGGCUCCCAUUUCUGUGCCGGCUCUGUGCUGUGGGCUGGGUUCGCACCGAGAACUCAAACGCUCCACGGAAAUUUCUGGCACAGCGGAAUUUCUGGGGCCGCAGUGCCAGCACAGCCGUGCCAACACAUCCCCGACAGCGCCCGGGCACCGUCCCACACCUGGCAGUGCCCGCCCUGGAUCUCAGCACCAGAUGUUCCACACAAUUCCCCUGAACCCCGCCCCUGCUCUGUGUGGGACUGUCAGCGGUGCACACCCAAACAGACGCACGGAAUCGGCUUUAAAACUGCCUGGGAAGGGGUUUAUUGCUCUUCAGCUGCCUGCUGCUCUUCCUCCUGCUGCUCGGGACCCCAGAGAGAGCAGCAGAGUGUUCCAAAUGGCACAGGGUGCCCAGAGCAGCUGGGGCUGCCCCUGGAUCCCUGGCAGUGCCCAAGGCCAGGGCUGGGAGCAGCCUGGGACAGUGGAAGGUGUCCCUGCCAUGGCAGGGGUGGCACUGGAUGAGUUUUAAGGUCCCUUCAACCCAAACCAUUCUCUGAUUCUGCUGAACUGGUAAAGAAAGGACUCAUUUCUCUGGAAUUCACUAAAGAAGCUUGUCUGGAAAACAAUAAAUCUUUUGGAAAAAGAUGAAACCCGAAUGUUUGUUGAGACUCUGUCCCUCACUGAAGGCAGCGUUUUGUAAAAAUCCAACAAGAGCUACCCCACACCAGCACUUGAAAACCUGACUAUUCUGCAUUUUAAAGGAGCCUUCAAGCCUUUGGGUUGGUAAAGUGAAGAAACUUUUCCAUUGCCCUGUCCACCUUUGCCCGAUUCUUCGCUCCUUCCGUUUGUGCCCGGCCACUCCCGAGGGGCUGUGCCAAGGCUCCCCUGCCGAGGUCGAGGGGUUACAGAUCCACAGCUGCCCAGACUUGCUCCAGCCCGGGCAGGAAUUCGCUUGGCAUAAACCAGGCCUUUGGAUUAUUUAUCUCAGCCUUUCAGUUAAACAGGAACAUGCCCUGAUUUUAACAAUCGUGCUUCCUGCGCGGGGGGAAGGUGUGGCCAAUGGCAUUUAAACCCAAACCCCAGCCAAGGCUGCCCCGGCUGGAAGUGCGGGCAGGACCACGAGGGUUUCCUUCGGCACUCAAAACACCAAGGGCCUCCCUCAGGUUAUUUUAUCACCCCCAGCAGCAAUAAUGAUGUGCACGAGGGUGAGAAUUGGGCAGUGUCAGACUCCUUAUGUUGCUGCUAUUAAAUUCAUAGAAGAAAAUCACACAGGAGACACUGGAGAACUGAGGAUGAACCUUUAGGUACAGCCUGGCACUAGAGCAGUGCAAGCCCAAACUUCCCUGGAAGCUGAGGAAUCGCUCCCUGAUCCUUCAGCGGUGCUGAGGGAACUGCCAAUGACAGCCUGGAGGGUCAAUCCCCACCCUCCCUCCUCCAAAAAUUGUAUUUUCCCCAAACAUCCAGCCCGAACCAUCCCAGCUGCAAGUCCUGAAAUCUCAUAAUCAGUAUAAAAACUCUUUAUUUUAUUAAUCAGCACUGUAAGCACUCAGGGCCCAGCUGUGAUCAGCCAUGGGGCCGCCCCCACUUUUGGAAGAGAUUCCUACCCUGCCAUUCUGACAGUGACGCUGAUUUCCCCCGCCUCAGAUCACAGCCAUGGAUUAUUCCCAUUUUCCAAGCCUGCUUUCCAGCCCAGGACUUUGCACCCUCAUAGGCACUUCUUACAAAACCAAAGCUCUGCCUCCUACUUUUAAAGUCUAGAAGGAAAAGAAAAAAAGCUAAAAAAACCUACCCCAAACCAGUAGCAACACAUGGACACGGGCUCCAGUUAAACCAGAAAUGCAGCCUAGAUUUUUAUAGUGGAAUGCUGAAGAUGUUCAAACCAAAAAAAUGCCAAAUUCUGCCCAAGAGUGUCAGAAAAUGACUUUAUGUUUUUAGGCCUCAUCACUCAGUUCCAAGGGCUGAAGUUUUCCACUGCCCCAAGAUUUCUGACACAGCUGAUUGUUCCCCAGUGCAGCACAGCUCUGAGCUCUUCCUGGGAGCCUGAGUGCCACCAGCAAGUGCUUACAGGUAAAGACAGAAACAUUCCAAGGCUGGUGAUUUUCAAAGGAAAGCUUGCCAUAAAAUAAACGCAUUUCCCCUGAAAGCAACCAGAAAGAGUCAUUUGAAAUAAAUCAAAGUUGGUUUCACCUCCUUAACGCGCCGCAGGCCUGACAAAAGCGGCGUGAGCUGAAAGCAUCAGUGCACUGCCCCAUUUCUGAGCCUGCCAGCGUUUCAUCUCGCCCUGGUGUUUCAUCUGUGAGUCUGCAGCUCUGUGGAUCUCAGGGUGGCCUCUGCCCGCACAGCGUGCUGCAAACCACCGGGGAGAAGUGGGAAUAUGGAAAAUCCUGCAUGUCGGGGCUCCCCGGGGAACGGGGGGGACUGGAAGGCUCAGCAGCCCCGGCCUGCUGCGGGGGUGACUCAUUGCAGGAGCCUGAGCUCGCUCCAGUCAUUAAGGAAGGAGUUAAUCCCUGCAGCUUUGGCCACAACGUGGAUGUGUAAGGCCUGGCGUCCCAUGGGCUCGAUUGCAUAAGAAACCAUGUAUUGUGGCAUUUAGUUGAUCAUGCACUACUUCUUCUGGUCACAUGGAGGCUUGAUUUCCCCUUGCAUCAGCUACUACAGACUUUUUACAUUUCUCGUUCUGGUGUCUGUUCAGUUCACCGGGGUCAGCCCCUUCACCCCACCCUUCAGGGCUCACCCUGUCCCACGGGAUUCACCCCAUUUUUUGCAGGAUCCUAUGGGAGGAACUGGGCUCUUGUAAUUUUUCUCAUUUGUGCCUGUGUGUAACAGGUGUCAUUUUCAGUGUAGUACAGACAAAUCCCAAAAUAGCUCAGGCUCUUCAGACGCUGCGAGGAGAAAAAAUCGUGGUUACUUCAGCUUUGGUUGUAGUGAAAAACCCAGCGCUCGCAGCCGGCUCUGAAGUCAGAAUUAAAAUGGCAGACGGAGGAGUGGAGCAGGGAUCUCUCUGCAUUCCGUGUUUCCUGAUGGACUGCUCCUCGCUGCUCCGUGUGUGCACAUCAACUCCCUCACAGUGCUGCCUCUCCAUCAGCUUCCCCGAUUCCCAGGAGCUGCACCUACCACGGAUCCUCCUCCACACUUCCCGGUGCUGGCAGAGCUCUGCUUCCCCUGCCGGGCGCCGGGGCUGGCCGGAGGCACCGCAGUCGUUCGAGGGAUUGGAGGGGCAGAGGCGAGGAGAGAGCGAGCAGCUGCAAAAGGCUCCUUGCCUGGGGAUGAUGCCUGCUGUGCUGAAAUGCAGAGCUGCCUGUGGACUGUCUUUGUCGGGGAUUAUUGGAUUCUGGUGACUCCAGGAGCGCAGUUAUUAGUUCCCCUGCCUACGCCGAGCGUUUUGAAUCUGUGUGUGAUAACACUUAUUAAUACUGCUCAGAUUAAGAAGAUCCUAUGGCUUUCCAGCACUUUCAGCACCUUAUCUCACACCAAGCAUCUGCCCAGCAGCUGAACCACGCUCAGAUCAGUGUCCUGUGGGCAGCAGAGCAGGGGCUCGUGGGGCCAGCAGCAGCCUCAUGCCCCGAAAUCCUGCAUUUGUUCACAGCAGCAGCUCCUCUUAAGCAGCCUGGUGCUUCAGGGCAUCUGCCUGCUGAGGAUUUGCAGGACGUGGGCCUAAAAUAUUUUAUUUCAGGAAGUCAAGCAGUGGUUCCUGUCACCGAAACAGUUAAUCAGAAAGCACCAACUCUCUGCUGCAACGUGUGUGUGCGUGCACGUGUUUUUGUUUUUUAGAGCCAGCAAGAUUUGCUUUGGUUUUUUUAAAGCAGAAAACACUAAAAAAGUUGGCUGUGGUUUCAGCUGCUAUCGCUCGAGAUUUGUACUGCUGACUACCAAUCCUAAAAGAGUUAACCUGGUAAGUAUGACUCAGAAGCAGAGAAGGAGAUGCGAGGCUGAGAGCCGGGGAGGAAAUGCAGAAACAGAGGUGAGGAACAGAAUAAUUGCCAAAAAAAGGUGCAGAGUCCAGGAGCGACGUUCCCUCCGGUCUGCCUGGCCCUGGCACCGCUGGCACGGGCUCCCUGGAAAGCUGCAGUUCCGCUCUUAUAACACAAGGAGCAGGCUGGAGAAUUUAGAGCUGCGUCACAGAGCUCAGCGAGAGAGUGAGAGAGCAAGCUCCGUCGAUAGGUCUACCAGCAACAGCCCUGCUGCAGCAAGAGGGGAGAGAGGCAGCAAGAGAGGCAGAGAGGGCUCCAGGAGGAGAAGUGGCACCAACACCACGGACUGGGCUCCUGCCACCAUCCACUGCCACUUGCACCUCGUACUCGGGCUCGCUUGGCGUAGGAGGCUUCGCCCAUUGACGAUGCUGGAGACCCGGCGCGCUUAAUCCCACGGGGAGGGAGAGUGGGCAGACACCGAAAGGGUUAACGGGAAGGAAAUUUCUGGAACCUUCUCUUCUGCGGCGCUCCAGAGCGAGCGGAGGGCUGAGGACUGCGCAGAUGGUGCACGGGCACGGCUCCUCGGUCCGGUUCGUCUCCCUCACCGACCAGCAGUGAAGAUGGCAGCUCUGCCUGGGAGUGCUGAGGACACAGCCAGCCUUGAGCUUGGUCCUUCUGGCCGAGGAAGUCUCCCGAUUAUGCAGUGGAGUGGUGCUGUGGCUCACAGCAGCCUGAACUGCUCCUUUCUCCUGCCCAGACACCCUGGGAGCCUGGAAAGGAGAGCACAGACAGAUGUACCCUCCCCAAAACGUGCACCUGCACCUUGCCAAGAAGGGCUGACACCUUCUGGGGAGCUCGUGAAGGCGACAGAACAAACUCCAGGUAGCCUGGAGGAGCGGCAGCAGCAUCUUAAUUAUGCUGGAGUGAAACCUGGUUUUAUCAAAACUAUAAAUAAUAAAUGAGCCACUGGUCUUCAUCUGCUGCAUGAUAUUUCUGGAAAGGUUGGUCUCCUUUGCAGCAGAGGGGAAGAUGUGCAGAGGUGUUUAGUCCUUAUAAGUCUCGUACUUUGACACAAGUUCCCAUUUUCAGCAGCACAGAAUUAAGUGACCUUUCCUCCAACUAUUUCUCAAAACCCUAAUGAAGAUUUCUUUGUAAUUCUUACUAAUGAGCCAAGGAAAAACCAAAGCCUUGCUGAGAGCCUUUUCUCAGAGAUGCUGCUGUGAUCUGUGCUGCACCUGCCUCUCCUCAGCAGCAAUUCUUGGUGCAGCUUUUCAGGAGUAAAUCUCACCUGAUAAUAGAGGGUGCCUCAUAAAUAACUGUGCCAGCACGGCAGGCACUGGGGAGGGAACCUGCUUUCCACUCGUCUUUCACCCUGUUGCCCCAGAUAAUGGAUUUAGAAACGACAGUAAAUAUCCAGAUACUGAAUCUAGUCCAGUUACUUCCCUUUCCUCCACCCCUCUUUCUUGGAAGGACAAGCUCCUGUCUCUGAGCUUUCCCUCAGAGUGUGCAUUAGGAUGGAGGCACUGGAGCAGAUUUUUGGAUGUGGUUACAACAGGAAUACACAGAGCUGCCAAAAACCCAGGGCAUCAAUAAGUGAAACUGCUGCCUGCAGUUGUGCUUUGUUCCAUUUCACGUUGGCCUCUGCUCCAGCACAGGUCAGACACUUAUCCAAGGGUUGAUAGCUCCUGAAUUAUGCAUGUGUGGAGCAGUUCAGAGCCUCUCAACACCCCCUCUAUUCCCCCUGCUCUGAGCCGUGGCCACUGGAGGUUAAGUGCACUGCUCAGCCCUGCUGCAGUUCCAGGAAGCAUCAGCCACUCAUUUUCACACUCUCCUUCCUCAACAACUUCCACUGAACCAUUUACAGUUCAAUUUAUGGACACUCCUUUUUCUUGUUCUGACCCACACUCAAAGUACUUUCAACCCAAAUUAUUUUCAUUCUGCCUGCAGAGUUUAAAAGUUGUCUCACUAAAAUCUGCAAGUCCUUGCUUAUUUAAAGCACAGGGACUGCUGAUAGAGAAAGUUCCAUCAGGACACUCACAUUUCCUUUCCCUGCCACAAAAAUCUGUCCUGUGCUCUCUGGUCAGUGAGUGACAGAAAGCCAGAACGCUCUGUCUUGGACAGAAUGGGGUUUACAGCCUGGUUUUAUCUGCAGUGAAAUGGAAAAAGUGUUCCUGCACCACACAAUCUGCCCACACUCACCCCAUCAGCAUCGUGCUCUGCACUAGCAAGAAAUCAAACUUUAAUCAACACUUGCUGGGAAGAACUUGAGUGGAUUCCACCUGGCUAGGGCAGGAAGCAACACUCACUGCCAGGCUGGGGGCUUUCCUCACCACAUAUUUAAUUUCUCCUACAUCCGCCUCAACCAUCCACAAGAUGCCACAAAAAAAAAAAAAUGCAUCCAUAAAGUAGCUAAGCCCAAGGUAACUGUCUUGCUGUCUAAUAAAAUUAAAUACAUGAAUUUUU
Molecule: long non-coding RNA, 7598 nt
Organism: Prinia subflava (tawny-flanked prinia)
Lineage: Eukaryota; Metazoa; Chordata; Aves; Passeriformes; Cisticolidae
Exons: 3
Source: RefSeq, a predicted model, not a curated record